This 1083-nucleotide ribosomal RNA is filed under the name Triticum aestivum (bread wheat). RNAcentral describes it as "partial small subunit ribosomal RNA". Lineage: Eukaryota; Viridiplantae; Streptophyta; Magnoliopsida; Poales; Poaceae. The record is from RNAcentral.
AUGCCUCAUCAAGCAAGUGAACUGGAGACAUUGGAGAGUAUAUUGAUUAACACAAGUGCAGAGCCGGCUAAGCUAACAUAUGCACUUAUAAAAUCCAUAGCAAGAAACUUCUCUCAAGAGAUUGGCCAUGGAAGGUUUGGAGUUGUUUACCUGGGAGUUCUCCAAAACAGGAAUGUUGCUGUGAAGAAGCUUUCCUCACUGCAGGGAUUUUCUGAUGAGCUAUUUGCAGAUGAGAUUAAAAGUCUAAUGAUGGCAAAGCACAACAAUAUAGUAAGAUUUCUUGGCUAUUGUUCAGAUACGCAAGAGGAACUGUCAGAAAUCAAUGGAAGAUAUAUUAUGGCAGAAGUACCACAAAAGUUUCUCUGUUUUGAGUAUGUAGCUAAUGGAAGCCUUCAACGCUAUCUUACAGAGAAAUCCCAUGUAGACCAAUGGCAGAUCCGCUACAACAUUAUUAAGGGGAUAUGUCAAGGUAUCAAUUAUCUUCACAAGGAAAACAUAAUUCAUUUGGAUCUCAAACCAGAGAAUGUUCUGCUCGAUGCUCACAUGGAGCCAAAACUUAUGGACUUUGGUUUAUCUAGAUGCUUCGAUGAAGGACAAUCUAGAAUUAUAACUAAAUUUAUUAAUGGAGCACAGUUAUUCAUGGCACCAGAAACGAUAGAGACUGGAGAAAUGUCAUUUAAGUCGGACGUAUUCAGUUUGGGCAUAAUAAUAAUAAAACUACUACUCGGGGAUAACACCCAUGAUAUGAAAGAUUGGGAUAAAUCGCUAAAGGUGGACAACCCACAAGUGAAGAUAUGCGCCAAGAUUGCACAAGCUUGUGUGGAUGCAUACCCAUGUAAUAGGCCUAAUUUAGCUCACAUAAUUCAUCUUUUAAAUGCAUUAGAGAGCACGAUUCAAGGGGUAUCUCCGGUUGUUCAAGAAUCAACAGUUGGUCCAGGAUAUUCUUUAUAUCAGGUAUACAUCAUCAUUCAAUACACGGACACACAUAUACGACCGUGUAUGUUUUGGAUCCUACACAUGGAUUUCAAUUUUCCAUACAUUCCUACCUGUUUUUUUUUCAAGCUCAAUUUCCUACCUGUUUAG